Siniperca chuatsi (mandarin fish) is the source of this 1790-nucleotide long non-coding RNA. RefSeq lists it as uncharacterized. The record is from RefSeq and is a predicted model, not a curated record. Lineage: Eukaryota; Metazoa; Chordata; Actinopteri; Centrarchiformes; Sinipercidae. The transcript has 4 exons.
UUUUGUCCAAUUCAGCAUACAACGCAGCCGAUCUGUAGAAAAAAAUCCACAAAUGUGAGGUGCAGUUACUAGCUACACCAGCAGGUGGCGAGAUCCCCUCACAUGAGCUGACAGAACUACAGUCUGUAAACUGCUAGAAGAAGGCUAAACAAGAGUCAUCAAACCAGCUGGCUUCUACCAGGAGGAGAAAGACGGGGUGGAGCAACUUUAUUUAACCCAACGGCCAUGAUUGAGGAUGGGGUUCAUCAUUGUCAUCUCCAGGGAAAUUGUCAACUUAAGAGUAUAGCAGUCCCAACCAUUUUUCCAAGUCAUCAGUCCCAACCAUAUGUUCCAAGUAACAUCCUGUCGUACAGUGGUAAGACGCAAGAUUUUGUCAGGGACUGACACACCUGUUACUCAUCUGCUGCUGCUCACCUGUUCUCCAUCCACCAAUCAACACCUUGCAGUAUAUCUACCCGGCUCUUCUCACCAGUCUUCGCCAGAUCGUCUGUUUACCCAAGUUCAUUCCUCCCACCUGCCUUCAUGUUUCUCACUGGCUCUUCAGAAAGAUCUCACCAUGGAUCCUCCGCUGCUCCACCUCAGCCCGCUGUCCUCGCUCCGCCUGCCUGCCCUCACUAGUCUCCUGCCUGCAUGCUGUCUUUGCCCAGUCCACCGGCUCACAGCAUUAACUUCCACACACUUAGUUACUCCUUUGUGUUUUACAACCAAACCGAAACUAACUACUUCAACUCUAUCUGUGCUAGUCGUGCUUUUGGGUCCAGCUUCUGUGUACCAUAACAGGUCCACUAAUAAAAUCAGUCAAAUUUCUAGAUAUGAGAGCUGCUCCAUCCAAAGUAGGAUGUAUGCCGUCUCAUUAACUUUAGUGACCUCCAACUGGCGUAAUCGGGGUUGUUACCGCUGACGUGAAUAAUGAUCAUACUGUAUUUACACUUAUCCUCAGCACAAUUUACAGAUUCCUUUUUACAGAUCUGCUGCAGUACAAAUUGGACAAAAUUCCACAAAUAAAUAGGAGGGAAAUCACAAAUGUUAUGUGGCCUGCAAGCUGACAGGAAGCAAUCCACAAAUGUGCAAAACCCAUUUCAUGUGAAAAAAAGGAUCCACAAAUGCGUAUAUAUCACUUUACAUGUAUUUUUUGAGGUGAAACAAUUUACAUUUGUACAACUUAUCAUUUUAUGUGAAAUUAAAAUACGUUUUUACAGAGAAAGUUACACAUCUUUGCAAUUUGCUCUCUCUGUAUUUUUGUGGAUAUGACUUUACACAACACAAAUUUAAAAAAAAAAAAAUACAGCGAUACAUUUUCAGUGAGUCUAGAGAUUCAGAUUUGUCUUCCUCCAGAAGGCGUCUCAUCUGGAUGAGGGAAAUCUUUCCCUGAAUAUUUCAGGGUAAACACAGUCACCUUCUCAAGAUGCAGACCUCAUGGUCAUGAGGGGGAGUGAGGCAGCAGCCUGAUAAAUACAUGCUAUCAGCUGUAUUGUGAUCUAAUUGGCUCAUAUUGGAGGGUUUUCAAUGUAGAAUAAAGGCUUUGACAGGGCCUCACAUACACAAAGAUUAUAUGCACAUACAUACACAUCCAUGCACACACACAAAGACAGAGCUGCAGUGUUUAGUCUGUUGUGAGUUCAGUCUGAUAAUCAGUAAUUAGGUAAUUGUAUGUGUGUGUGUGUGGGGGAGUUUCUUAUCAGCUGGUCAGACUCACAUUGAGAGCAGAAACACAUAUUGAUGAUCUGCUGCGUUUCCACCUGAGGUUUGUGUGUCUUUGUGUAACAUGUCUGUUUGUAUGUAUGUGUGUU